Termitomyces sp. T159_Od127 is the source of this 82-nucleotide non-coding RNA. NCBI's taxonomy places the organism in Eukaryota, Fungi, Basidiomycota, Agaricomycetes, Agaricales, Lyophyllaceae. The record is from the annotation of a GenBank genome assembly.
UCCCUCUUAGCUCAGUGGUAGAGCGUGUCACUCGUACUGCGAGGUUAUGACAAGGUCAGUCGUUCAAUCCGGCUAGCGGGAA